AAGACUGUGAUUUUCAAUUUCAAACAGCUGUUUGUCAAAUGUUACCCUGGUUGCUUCAAGUUCAAUAUACAUGACUUUAGUGUUAAGUAUGUUCAUGUGCCUAAACAAAACUUUAGGUAUGACUCUGGAAUUUUUGUGAUCCAGUACAUAAGAUGCUACAAUGGAGUUGAAGUACAACAAUUCUCAAAUGUUGACUUGCAAGCAAUCCGUGAAAAAGUGUCAUGCCAGCUAGUGAUAAACAAAUUCAAUGAGCAACAAGUGCCAAUAGCUCGAGAAUUCAUUGCGAAGCAUGCUCCGCAUCUUCUCCAUUGAUCAAGAAAGCAAAGUUUUUUCAACAGGACAUAUGAUGUAUUACAGUUAUAUCAUGAUCAAGGAACUUCUCAAUCCUGCUUCUUCCUUGGGAUUUUCGCCGCUGAGAGCUUCUUCUCUGAUUCGUCCCCCGAGUCCGGUCCUCCGCCUCGGCCUCCGCCCCUUCUUCGCUCGUGUUCUGUUUUCGUACACGAACUACUGGAUCUCUUACAAAAUGAGAUAUUACAUUCCAUGGUUGGAGAAUAUAGUCUUGUUACGAGACUUCCUUUUAUAAGUGGGAUUUAUUUUUACGCUUGUUUUUAAUUUGAAUUAUGCAAGACCUACAUGAAGUACAUACAAGAUGUUUUUAAUU
Molecule: non-coding RNA, 661 nt
Organism: Lolium perenne
Lineage: Eukaryota; Viridiplantae; Streptophyta; Magnoliopsida; Poales; Poaceae
Source: RefSeq, a predicted model, not a curated record